GCAUAUCAAUAAGCGGAGGGAAAAGACAACCAACAAGGGAUUGUCCUCUAGUUAUCUUCCGAGUGAAGCCGGCAAGAGCUCAAAUUUGAAAGCUGGCUCCUUCGGGGUCCCGCAUUGUAAUUUUGCAGAGGAUGCUUCGGGAGCGGUCCCCCAUCUAAGUGCCCUGGAACGGGCCGUCAUAGAGGGUGAGAAUCCCGUAUGGGAUGGGGUGCCCGCGACCAUGUGAAGCUCCUUCGACGAGUCGAGUUGUUUGGGAAUGCAGCUCUAAAUGGGUGGUAAAUUUCAUCUAAAGCUAAAUAUUGGCCGGAGACCGAUAGCGCACAAGUAGAGUGAUCGAAAGAUGAAAAGCACUUUGAAAAGAGAGUUAAAAAGCACGUGAAAUUGUUGAAAGGGAAGCGCUUGCGACCAGACUCGCCCGCGGGGUUCAGCCGGUAUUCGUACCGGUGUACUUCCCCGUGGGCGGGCCAGCGUCGGUUUGGGCGGCCGGUCAAAGGCCCUCGGAAUGUAACGCCUCUCGGGGCGUCUUAUAGCCGAGGGUGCCAUGCGGCCAGCCCGGACCGAGGAACGCGCUUCGGCACGGACGCUGGCAUAAUGGUCGUAAGCGACCCGUCUUGAAACACGGACCAAGGAGUCUAACAUCUACGCGAGUGUUCGGGUGUCAAACCCGUGCGCGCAGUGAAAGCGAACGGAGGUGGGGAACCCUUUGGGUGCACCAUCGACCGAUCCUGAUGUCUUCGGAUGGAUUUGAGUAAGAGCGUAGCUGUUGGGACCCGAAAGAUGGUGAACUAUGCCUGAAUAGGGCGAAGCCAGAGGGAAACUCUGGUGGAGGCUUCGCAGCGGUUCUGACGUGCAAAUCGAUCGUCAAAUUUGGGUAGUAGGGGCGAAAGACUAAUUCGAACCAUCUAGUAGCUGGUUCUGCCGGAAG
RNAcentral lists this ribosomal RNA (925 nucleotides) under Penicillium stolkiae. Its description in RNAcentral is "LSU rRNA". It matches the Rfam family "Eukaryotic large subunit ribosomal RNA", at positions 38 to 966 of the family's 3401-position model. The record is from RNAcentral. Lineage: Eukaryota; Fungi; Ascomycota; Eurotiomycetes; Eurotiales; Aspergillaceae.